Ruditapes philippinarum (Manila clam) is the source of this 988-nucleotide long non-coding RNA. RefSeq lists it as uncharacterized. The record is from RefSeq and is a predicted model, not a curated record. NCBI's taxonomy places the organism in Eukaryota, Metazoa, Mollusca, Bivalvia, Venerida, Veneridae. The transcript is spliced from 2 exons.
ACUUUAAUACUCUAUAUCAUAACAUUUCAAAUAUGUUUAUUUCAUCUUUUGCAGCAAAGUUCGCGCAUUUUAUGUUGAGAUAACCGAGAAAAUUAUUGCGAAAUUCCCACUUAAUGAUCCAGUCCUCAAUGAUCAAGUCCUCAAGUGUCUUUCCUUCCUACGUCCAGAAUUCAGGGAGACAACGCCCGCUUCAUCUGUUGCCAAGCUCGCCUUGGUAUGGGUAACACAGAUAGUGUGGAGGAGGAAUAAAUGGACUACCAACUCAUGGCGAUCGGGUCUCUUCCUGCGUAUGAAGAGGGGAUGCCACUGGACCCAUAUUGGGUAGCAUUAGAGAAACAUAAAACUCCACUCCAAAAACCAAGGUUUCCCACCCUUGUUCCGUUAAUCCAGAGGGACGACAGAGAAAAUCUUGCCAUAAAUACAAUUCAGCGGUCAUUACUGUCAUUAAAAAUGAAUAUGAACACUGUUUGUUUUAAGCAUAAUAUCACAUCUGGUAUGUGUGCUGAAGCCCUAAAAGUCUGCAAUUGUUAAGAACACGAACUCUAUGUGCUGUCAUACUUGACCUUGACGCUGGUAAACAUUACUCAAGUCAUUUAAAUGUUUGAGUAUCAUGUGAUAUAGAAUAGAUGAGUAUAGCUUGUAUUCUUUGUAACUGUGCUAAAUUAUUUUAUUAUAUUGAUGUCUGAUUAAACGUAAAUAAAUUACCUUGCUGUGUUUGUUUUGAUGACUGGAAAAAUUGCGUUACGUGACAUGUAUUUAUUAUCACGACUUUAAGGUAUAACGGGUGAACAAACAUGGUUGCGCCCAUUCACCGGGUUUAUAACUUACAACUAACUUGCUUUUAGGGAAUAAUAAAUGAAAUAAUGAAAUACUAUAAAAUGAUAAAAAUGUCGAUCUGAAAGACUACUUCUAAAACUAGUCAGUUAACUGUUUAUCAUUAGAAUUCAGGAGAAAGUCGUCCUUAUUUAAUAACGUGAUACGAUUGACA